UGGCUCAGGAUGAACGCUGGCGGCGUGCCUAACACAUGCAAGUCGAGCGGAGAUAUUGAGAGAUUCUUUAGAUGAUCUCCUUAUCUUAGCGGCGGAUGGGUGAGUAACACGUGGGUAACCUGCCCUGCACAGGGGGAUAACAGCUGGAAACGGCUGUUAAUACCGCAUAUGCACACGCUGCCGCAUGGCAGAGGGUGGAAAGAUUUAUCGGUGCAGGAUGGGCCCGCGUCGGAUUAACUGGUUGGCAGGGUAACGGCCUACCAAGGUGAUGAUCCGUAGCCGACCUGAGAGGGUGACCGGCCACAUUGGGACUGAGACACGGCCCAAACUCCUACGGGAGGCAGCAGUGGGGGAUAUUGCACAAUGGGCGCAAGCCCUGAUGCAGCGACGCCGCGUGAAGGAAGAAGUAUUUCGGUAUGUAAACUUCUAUCAGCGGGGAAGAAGAUGACGGUACCCGACUAAGAGGCCCCGGCUAACUACGUGCCAGCCGCAGC
RNAcentral lists this ribosomal RNA (494 nucleotides) under uncultured bacterium. Its description in RNAcentral is "bacterial SSU rRNA". It matches the Rfam family "Bacterial small subunit ribosomal RNA", at positions 20 to 518 of the family's 1533-position model. The record is from RNAcentral.